GCCUCUAUGGAUCAAUGUGAUAUCACCUCCGCUCUAUGGGAGCUUUCUUUCAGCAUAUUUCGGAGGAGACGUAGGUUCAACUCCUACUGGGGGCG
Molecule: non-coding RNA, 95 nt
Organism: Mycena metata
Lineage: Eukaryota; Fungi; Basidiomycota; Agaricomycetes; Agaricales; Mycenaceae
Source: the annotation of a GenBank genome assembly